GGCUCACUCUGCAUUACCCAGUGGUAAGCAUCUAGUGAAAUACUUCUUAUGCUUUCUACAUACCUCUGGAAGCCUUCAGGCUUUGGUGCAUAAGCCGCACCGUAAAAAUCCUCAACCAAAAGGCGCUUGACUUCAUGAGAAAAUUGCCCUCUUACAUCUCUGAUAAGUUGUUCAGAGAGAUAGCGUAGACAGUAGCCAUGAAAGACAUCCUCAC
This 214-nucleotide unclassified non-coding RNA is filed under the name Hevea brasiliensis (rubber tree). Lineage: Eukaryota; Viridiplantae; Streptophyta; Magnoliopsida; Malpighiales; Euphorbiaceae. The record is from RNAcentral.